Long non-coding RNA from Oncorhynchus mykiss (rainbow trout), 1980 nucleotides. The record is from Ensembl. Lineage: Eukaryota; Metazoa; Chordata; Actinopteri; Salmoniformes; Salmonidae.
AUGUCCCCCAGCCCACACCACCACCAAUUCACAACAUUCACACCUACAGUCACACACUCCCCAUAUGUCCCCCAGCCCACACUCCCAUCAAUUCACAACAUUCACACCUACAGUCACACACACCCCAUAUGUCCCCCAGCCCACACCACCACCAAUUCACAACAUUCACACCUACAGUCACACACUCCCCAUAUGUCCCCCAGCCCACACUCCCAUCAAUUCACAACAUUCACACCUACAGUCACACACUUCCCAUAUGUACCCCAGCCCACACUCCCACCAAUUCACAACAUUCACACCUACAGUCACACACUCCCCAUAUGUACCCCAGUCCACACUCCCACCAAUUCACAACAUUCACACCUACAGUCACACACUCCCCAUAUGUCCCCCAGCCCACACUCCCAUCAAUUCACAACAUUCACACCUACAGUCACACACUCCCCAUAUGUCCCCCAGCCCACACUCCCACCAAUUCACAACAUUCACACCUACAGUCACACACUCCCCAUAUGUCCCCCAGCCCACCAAUUCACAACAUUCACACCUACAGUCACACACUCCCCAUAUGUCCCCCAGCCCACACUCCCAUCAAUUCACAACAUUCACACCUACAGUCACACACUCCCCAUAUGUCCCCCAGCCCACACCACCACCAAUUCACAACAUUCACACCUACAGUCACACACUCCCCAUAUGUCCCCCAGCCCACACUCCCAUCAAUUCACAACAUUCACACCUACAGUCACACACUUCCCAUAUGUCCCCCAGCCCACCAAUUCACAACAUUCACACCUACAGUCACACACACCCCAUAUGUCCCCCAGCCCACACUCCCACCAAUUCACAACAUUCACACCUACAGUCACACACUUCCCAUAUGUCCCCCAGCCCACACUCCCACCAAUUCACAACAUUCACACCUACAGUCACACACUCCCCAUAUGUCCCCCAGCCCAUCAAUUCACAACAUUCACACCUACAGUCACACACACCCCAUAUGUCCCCCAGCCCACACUCCCACCAAUUCACAACAUUCACACCUACAGUCACACACACCCCAUAUGUCCCCCAGCCCACACUCCCAUCAAUUCACAACAUUCACACCUACAGUCACACACACCCCAUAUGUCCCCCAGCCCACACUCCCACCAAUUCACAACAUUCACACCUACAGUCACACACUCCCCAUAUGUCCCCCAGCCCACACCACCACCAAUUCACAACAUUCACACCUACAGUCACACACUCCCCAUAUGUCCCCCAGCCCACACUCCCACCAAUUCACAACAUUCACACCUACAGUCACACACUCCCCAUAUGUCCCCCAGCCCACACUCCCACCAAUUCACAACAUUCACACCUACAGUCACACACUCCCCACAUGUCCCCCAGCCCAUCAAUUCACAACAUUCACACCUACAGUCACAAACAUUUCCUCAAUCGACAUAUGCACCUCUCACUGGGUGGGUGAGGAACACUAGUGUGUGCACCUGUGUGUGUGCACCUGUGCGCGUGUGUAUGUGUGUGUGUAUAUGUAUGUACGUCACAGUGUGUGUGUGUGAGUGUGAGUAUAUGUAUGUACGUCACAGUGUGUGUGUGUGUGUGUGUGUGUGUGUGUGUGUGUGUGUAUAUGUAUGUACGUCACUGUGUGUGUGUGUGUGUGUGUGUGUGUGUGUGUGUGUGUGUUACCUGCUGGUUGGGCACGCUGAAGGGUUUGGAGCUGAGGAUGGAGGCUGGCAGCUUGACUCUGUGUCUGCGUGGGUUCCCUGCCACGUCCACCUGGGUACUGCCAGGCCCAAUCCCACCACCAUGCUGCUGCUUCACUGUAGAGACACCAUGAGAGCUGUCCCCUACAGGAGAACACACACAGAUCUAGAUAUCAGUAACACAGUAACACAUACAAGAAAGACCAUGAUGACUGAUUUAUAUACAGUAGGUGUCUGCAAACUGUUGGGAAAAUGGUGUUUGACCAAAUAG